This is a long non-coding RNA of Dermacentor silvarum, 432 nucleotides long. RefSeq lists it as uncharacterized. Lineage: Eukaryota; Metazoa; Arthropoda; Arachnida; Ixodida; Ixodidae. The transcript has 3 exons. The record is from RefSeq and is a predicted model, not a curated record.
AUUCAAAUGCAAUGUAUUUAGUGCUGUGCCAGUUUGUGCCUUAGCAAGUCCGAAUUAGGGUACAGCACCACGUUUUAGCAGAAAGAAGAGCAAAAGCAUCAUGCUUCUGUGUGGUGCUCCAGAACUGUACUUUUUGUUAGCUUAUCGUGAAUUUGGUAGACACGCAAAUAAAAUAUGCAACCUUCUUUGACAUUCUUGCUGACGCUGAACAAACAACCUUGUUUGGAACACCUCAAAUUCGGUAUGUGGGUGGCCUGCCUUCAUGAUCCUUUGAUGAUCAUGAAGAAGGGCAUCAUAGCGCAGGUGAUCCUUUAGUGCAGACACUUGCGAGAAGCUUCGAAGGCAUGAAGGGCACUGAAGUGGUAAAUCGCCUGUGUGGGUGCACAGGUAUCGGUUCAAAAUACUAUUUUGUGAGAAGCUCUGAGAGCAUGC